This 62-nucleotide transfer RNA is filed under the name Nautilus pompilius. RNAcentral describes it as "tRNA-Arg". Lineage: Eukaryota; Metazoa; Mollusca; Cephalopoda; Nautilida; Nautilidae. The record is from RNAcentral.
GAAUUAAAGUGAAGUAUCACAUGCGGUUUCGACCCGUAAGUUGGAAACCUAUUCCUAAUUCC